Callorhinus ursinus (northern fur seal) is the source of this 2964-nucleotide long non-coding RNA. RefSeq lists it as uncharacterized. The record is from RefSeq and is a predicted model, not a curated record. NCBI's taxonomy places the organism in Eukaryota, Metazoa, Chordata, Mammalia, Carnivora, Otariidae.
GGGGACUCGGCGGCGCGGCCGGGCUCGGGUUCCCGGCUGCAGAGCGAGAGCCGGCCGGGCGGGGGCGGGCGCCUCUGCUGUGAAAGCUUAGUUAGAAAGCUGCCCCUGCAGAAAAGUCAGGGAUGAAUCUCUACCAUUUUCCUUUUAACAAAAUUGUGUGCACGCAGUUCUUCCAUUAGCUCCUUGAAGGCGGAGAUAGUAUGCAUCACAGCUCUAAAAUCUUAGGACUCUAACUUGCAUUCGGCUUAGAAUUUACUAACGGCAUGGUCUACUUUGUUUUUUAAUACUUUUGAAAUAUGAAAGUAAUCUAAAACCUAGAGGAAAAAGUUGCAACUACAGUGCAAAGAACACUUAAAAAAUCAUUUGACAAUAAGAUACCGACGAGAUGCUCCGAUACAACCAUUAAAAUCAGGAAAUUAACAUUGAUAAUUUACUACAUCUAGUGCCCAAACCGCAUUCAAUCACCGGUUGUCGUUGGUAGUAAAAAGCUCCUGUUCAGAAUAACGUAUUGCAUUUCCUGUCACAUCUCCUUAGGCUUCUUCAAUCUGUAACAAUUCCUCGGUGUUUCUGACUUUCAUGAUCGGGACACUCGUGAAGACGACAGGCCAAUCAUUUUGUAGAAUGUCCCUUUGUCAGUUUGGAUUUGUCUGAUUAGAUUCAGGUUGUGUUUCUGUAGCAAGAGAAUCACAGAAGUAUCACAUUGCAUCCUCUAGGUGGAGUGAUUUUGAUGUGUCCUGUUAACUGAACUUAAUUCGCUUGAUUAAGCUUUUGCCGGGCUUCACCACUAUAAAUUCACUCUUUUUCCCUUUGUGAUUAAUACAUAUUUUGGGGGGAAGUGCUUUGAACCUAUAUAAAUAUCCUAUUACUCAUCAAACUUUCCAUUUUAUUCAGGUAUUUAUGGAAUCGUAAGUAAUCUAAGUAUGCACUUAUGGUAUCCUAUUUGAAUAAAUGGUUACAAUCCAUUCUAUAUUUGUUUGAUGCUCCCGGUGUCCCAGAUUUGGCCAGUGGGAAUCCAUUUAAGCUGACUUUUGACAUGUCUUCGUCAUCCUUUAGCACUUCCUUACUUCCUAGUCCAAAAUAUUCCAUGCUUACCUUGUAUUUUCUAUAACCCAGCCCUAGAAUCAGCCAUUUUCAAAAGAUCCUUGGUUCUCUUUAGCAGAGAAUGGUAAUUAGAAACCAAGACCUCAGUCUAGAUGUGCCCAUUCUUUUGAUGUGUUACUGAUCCUAGGCCAUCUGAGUGAACAGAAUUAGGGACUGUGUAUGUAUGUGUGGUGUGUGUGUGUGUGUGUGUGUGUGUGUGCACGCACAUAUUUAUAUUUAUCUACUCUCUACUUAUAUUUAUAUCCAGGAGUUUAUAUCAACACCUCCAAUUCUGAUGCACCAUGGUAGAUUUUGUUUUAGUUUUUCUAUCCAUAUUUGUAAUUCCCUAAGCUUGCCAAUGUAAAAUUUACCUUGCUUGAGCCUAUCUAAUGGCUUUAGAAUUGAAUUGUUCAAGAAGGGAAGGAAAGAGGAAAAGAAAGAGUGUCUAAGUAGUUUGGAAAUGAGCAUCCUGCCAGCAUCUGAGAACCGGCAAUGAGCCAGUCACUGUUAGACACUUGGGAUGUGCAGAUAAAAAACCCAGCAUCUGUCUCACAGAGCUCAGUUAGUGAGGGAUAGAUUUUAAUGAGCCACAUUUAUAAUGACAAAAUAUGAAUUAUGUCCAAGAUGCUAAAGGAGCAGUGUGGGAAGCCCUCUUUCCCAGAGUGUCAGCUUUAGUUGGGAAUGAAAGGAAAAGAAGUAGGGCUCUGGGAGGGAGGGAGAGAGGGACAGGUGGGGUAAGCCAUCUUGAAACCAUGCUAAGUAUGGUCUCUGAAGUCCACUACAGAAUUCAAAACAAGAAGCAACCUGAUUAGUGUUGCAUGUGGAAGUUUCUCUAUCGACAUAGAAACUCUUGGUCUGUCUGUAUAGGUUUGGAAGAGGGGGGCAUAUUGAAUUGGAAGGAAAUAUUUUUGAGUGAAGAUUACUUAAUUCAGUCCAUAGCCAAUUCAGCUGAGCUCAGUGUCCCUCUCCCUUUCUCCUUAAAGGCCAAGCAAGAGAAAAAAAAACCAUAUUGAUUUGAAGCCUUUCCAGCCUGAGCAUAGGGGCUUGUACAAAUUUAAGUGUUCGUCUUACUAUGUUGGAGUGCAAUAUGGAACAGUACUACCAAGAAUAGGGAAAGAGUAGUAUGGAGUUUUACUUUGUUUCUUUGAAACUAUAUUGUAAGUCAAGCUUCUAGUUUGUAUUAACCAGUUACUGUGCAUUAGCAGAGAUGGUAAAAGACUCAUGAGUAUUCUUCUUAAGAUUGUUGAAAUUCUGCCACAUUACUCUGAGAUGCCACAAAGAGGGAUGAAAUGAUGUCUGAAGACUGCUGGUCUAGAAACAAGAGAAUCUAUUAGAUAGAUCCUAGGGCACUGAAUCACAAGUUUUCUAUUGAUUAGUAUGUAGGGCCUACUUAACCACAAUCUUCACACACUAAUUUAGGUGGAAUCUUUUACUUUACUAUUUCCUUCUCUGCAUAAUGUUUUAUCACUGGUUUUCUCUGAUUAGCAGGAUUCUCUAACUGAAUUUUGAUUUACCGCAGCAAACAUGAAGAAUACAAUCAAUUUUUAAACGUUCAAAUCACAUGGUGACUCAGUAGAAAGAACCCAGGCUUUCGGAACGGGCGUCCUGGAGUGCUGUGGAGGGGCGCACAGGGAAGCACCAGGGUGAGUCAAGAAGCAGAGGAAGCGAGGGGAAAGGAGGGAAAAACCUUCAUUGUGGUUUUCAUGGGAAGGAAUGGGUGAGGCAGGCUAGGGUGGGCCUUCUCUGAUUAGAAGAAUCAGGAUCCAGAAGCCCAAGGAGGCAAACACGAUACAUAAGGUCAUUUUCUGCUGUGUGCACAGAGAAGCAAGACCAUCUGAUGUGCAGAGAGAGAGAUGGAGGAAGCCGAUGCAGAGAAAAGCAGAG